RNAcentral lists this ribosomal RNA (448 nucleotides) under uncultured bacterium. Its description in RNAcentral is "partial 16S ribosomal RNA". It matches the Rfam family "Bacterial small subunit ribosomal RNA", at positions 331 to 793 of the family's 1533-position model. The record is from RNAcentral.
CCAGACUCCUACGGGAGGCAGCAGUGGGGAAUAUUGCACAAUGGGCGAAAGCCUGAUGCAGCAACGCCGCGUGAAGGAAGAAGGGUUUCGGCUCGUAAACUUCUAUUAACAGGGACGAAAGAAAUGACGGUACCCACAGAGGAAGCACCGGCUAACUCCGUGCCAGCAGCCGCGGUAAUACGGAGGGUGCAAGCGUUGUCCGGAAUCAUUGGGCGUAAAGAGUUCGUAGGCGGCAUGUAAAGUCAGGUGUUAAAGGCGCAGGCUCAACCUGUGUAUGGCACUUGAUACUUGCAAGCUGGAAUGCGGUAGAGGUAAAGGGAAUUCCUGGUGUAGCGGUGAAAUGCUUAGAUAUCAGGAGGAACAUCGGUGGCGUAAGCGCUUUACUGGGCCGUAAUUGACGCUGAGGAACGAAAGCCAGGGUAGCAAAUGGGAUUAGAUACCCGAGUAG